Molecule: long non-coding RNA, 924 nt
Organism: Mercurialis annua (annual mercury)
Lineage: Eukaryota; Viridiplantae; Streptophyta; Magnoliopsida; Malpighiales; Euphorbiaceae
Exons: 2
Source: RefSeq, a predicted model, not a curated record
UUUAUUUUUUAAUUGAAGAAUGAUCUUCAAAUUAUGUUAUACUGCUACAUUCAUUUGCUCAAGCAGCUCGUUAUAUGUCAGACCCGUAAAAAUCAUUUAAUAAGUUAAGAAAAUUAGGGCCAGCACUGUGGAAGCCCAAAAUAAUCUCAAAUAUACCGACCGGACAUUCCUCCUUCAAUUGUACUGCAAGCUUUAAUCUCCCUGCAAAAUUAAUUUAUUUUCCCUACAAUAUUACCACUAAUUAACUUUAUUCAUACAGUGUUCUUCAAAUCAUCUGAUUUGCCCCAAAUUUUCUUCCUCAGUAGCCUUUCUUCACUUUUUCGGCUCGGCUCGCCGGUGGUUGUCCCAAAAGAAGCCUGUUUCAAGAUCAGUGAAAGUCAAUCUUUAAUUUAUGCGUUUAACGGUGCCGUCUUUAAUCCGCCGUGUCUUGAUAAGUGCUUCACUUUCUAUCGAUCUCUGCCUGCGCUGAAAGACAACGAAGUUCAGAGAAAAAGAUUCUAUUGGCUGUAAUAACAAGUCUAGCAAUAAAAAGCAAGUUGAAACUUCAAAGAAUGACAAGAAAUAAGAAAACGAUGAUGACAAAAAUGUAAUGCUAACACCUAACUUGUUUUAUUUUAAGUUCCAUCAUAUUCAACACCUAAAUAUAUAUCGUGUUAGAGUACUUACAUUUUGGUCUUGUUUUGUGAGUUUGGCUUUUGGCAUGAGACUCUUGGCAUGAAGCUUUGACAAAAGAAAUGGAAGUGCUAUGGAGGUGGAUUAAUGAAAAAUUAAAGCAUGUGGAGAUGAUCUUAGCAAACGAAUUAGUUCUUUCAAAGCUGAUUUUGUAUUUUAUUUAUAAUUUUAAUCUAAUAAGAUUAUUAAAAUAAAUUACUAUUUGAACAAAAUAUAUUGAUAUAAUUGCAUUUAACUCCGCUUCUAUUUCAA